UACAGAGGGUGCGAGCGUUAAUCGGAUUUACUGGGCGUAAAGCGUGUGUAGGUGGCUACCUAAGUCGAUUGUGAAAUCUCUGGGCUCAACCUGGGAAUUGCAGUCGAUACUGGGAAGCUCGAGUUCGGUAGAGGACGGCGGAAUUCCCGGUGUAGCGGUGAAAUGCGUAGAUAUCGGGAGGAACAUCAGUGGCGAAGGCGACUUCCUGGACCAAUACUGACGCUCAGGUGCGAAAGCGUGGGGAGCAAACAGG
This 253-nucleotide ribosomal RNA is filed under the name uncultured bacterium. RNAcentral's name for it is "partial 16S ribosomal RNA". It matches the Rfam family "Bacterial small subunit ribosomal RNA", at positions 524 to 776 of the family's 1533-position model. The record is from RNAcentral.